CAGCAGUGGGGAAUAUUGCGCNAUGGGGGGAACCCUGACGCAGCCAUGCCGCGUGAAUGAAGAAGGCCUUCGGGUUGUAAAGUUCUUUCGGUAUUGAGGAAGGUUGAUGUGUUAAUAGCACAUCAAAUUGACGUUAAAUACAGAAGAAGCACCGGCUAACUCCGUGCCAGCAGCCGCGGUAAUACGGAGNGUGCGAGCGUUAAUCGGAAUAACUGGGCGUAAAGGGCACGCAGGCGGUUAUUUAAGUGAGGUGUGAAAGCCCCGGGCUUAACCUGGGNAUUGCAUUUCAGACUGGGUAACUAGAGUACUUUAGGGAGGGGUAGAAUUCCACGUGUAGCGGUGAAAUGCGUAGAGAUGUGGAGGAAUACCGAAGGCGAAGGCAGCCCCUUGGGAAUGUACUGACGCUCAUGUGCGAAAGCGUGGGGAGCAAACAGGAUUAGAUACCCUGGUAGUCCACGCUGUAAACGCUGUCGAUUUGGGGGUUGGGGUUUAACUCUGGCACCCGUAGCUAACGUGAUAAAUCGACCGCCUGGGGAGUACGGCCGCAAGGUUAAAACUCAAAUGAAUUGACGGGGGCCNGCACAAGCGGUGGAGCAUGUGGUUUAAUUCGAUGCAACGCGAAGAACCUUACCUACUCUUGACAUCCUAAGAAGAGCUCAGAGAUGAGCUUGUGCCUUCGGGAACUUAGAGACAGGUGCUGCAUGGCUGUCGUCAGCUCGUGUUGUGAAAUGUUGGGUUAAGUCCCGCAACGAGCGCAACCCUUAUCCUUUGUUGCCAGCGACUUGGUCGGGAACUCAAAGGAGACUGCCAGUGAUAAACUGGAGGAAGGUNGGGAUGACGUCAAGUCAUCAUGGCCCUUACGAGUAGGGCUACACACGUGCUACAAUGGCGUAUACAGAGGGAAGCGAAGCUGCGAGGUGGAGCGAAUCUCAUAAAGUACGUCUAAGUCCGGAUUGGAGUCUGCAACUCGACUCCAUGAA
Molecule: ribosomal RNA, 980 nt
Filed under: Haemophilus influenzae
Lineage: Bacteria; Pseudomonadati; Pseudomonadota; Gammaproteobacteria; Pasteurellales; Pasteurellaceae
Description: bacterial SSU rRNA
Rfam family: Bacterial small subunit ribosomal RNA
Source: RNAcentral